RNAcentral lists this ribosomal RNA (490 nucleotides) under uncultured bacterium. RNAcentral describes it as "partial 16S ribosomal RNA". It matches the Rfam family "Bacterial small subunit ribosomal RNA", at positions 30 to 507 of the family's 1533-position model. The record is from RNAcentral.
AUUGAACGCUGGCGGCAGGCCUAACACAUGCAAGUCGAAUGGUAACAGGAAACAGCUUGCUGUUUCGCUGACGAGUGGCGGACGGGUGAGUAAUGUCUGGGAAACUGCCUGAUGGAGGGGGAUAACUACUGGAAACGGUAGCUAAUACCGCAUAACGUCGCAAGACCAAAGAGGGGGACCUUCGGGCCUCUUGCCAUCAGAUGUGCCCAGAUGGGAUUAGCUAGUAGGUGGGGUAACGGCUCACCUAGGCGACGAUCCCUAGCUGGUCUGAGAGGAUGACCAGCCACACUGGAACUGAGACACGGUCCAGACUCCUACGGGAGGCAGCAGUGGGGAAUAUUGAACAAUGGGCGCAAGCCUGAUGCAGCCAGGCCGCGUGUAUGAAGAAGGCCUUCGGGUUGUAAAGUACUUUCAGCGGGGAGGAAGGGAGUAAAGUUAAUACCUUUGCUCAUUGACGUUACCCGCAGAAGAAGCACCGGCUAACUCCGUG